GAUGAACGCUGGCGGCGUGCCUAAUACAUGCAAGUCGAGCGAACAGACGAGGAGCUUGCUCCUCUGACGUUAGCGGCGGACGGGUGAGUAACACGUGGAUAACCUACCUAUAAGACUGGGAUAACUUCGGGAAACCGGAGCUAAUACCGGAUAAUAUAUUGAACCGCAUGGUUCAAUAGUGAAAGACGGUUUUGCUGUCACUUAUAGAUGGAUCCGCGCCGCAUUAGCUAGUUGGUAAGGUAACGGCUUACCAAGGCAACGAUGCGUAGCCGACCGGAGAGGGUGAUAGGCCACACUGGAACUGAGACACGGUCCAUACUACUAAGGGAGGCAGCAGUAGGGAAUCUUCCGCAAUGGGCGAAAGCCUGACGGAGCAACGCCGCGUGAGUGAUGAAGGUCUUCGGAUCGUAAAACUCUGUUAUUAGGGAAGAACAAAUGUGUAAGUAACUAUGCACGUCUUGACGGUACCUAAUCAGAAAGCCACGGCUAACUACGUG
Molecule: ribosomal RNA, 497 nt
Filed under: uncultured bacterium
Lineage: Bacteria
Description: partial 16S ribosomal RNA
Rfam family: Bacterial small subunit ribosomal RNA
Source: RNAcentral